UUCCCUUCGGGGAGCGAGUAGAGUGGCGCACGGGUGAGUAACACGUAGGUAAUCUACCUUUGGAUUGGGAAUAACAACCGGAAACGGUUGCUAAUACCGAAUAAUGCAGCGGCACCUAAUGGUGACAGUUGUUAAAGCGGGGGAUCGCAAGACCUCGCGUCUAAAGAGGAGCCUGCGGCGGAUUAGCUAGUUGGUAAGGUAACGGCUUACCAAGGCGAUGAUCCGUAGCCGGCCUGAGAGGGCGGUCGGCCACACUGACACUGACAUACGGGUCAGACUCCUACGGGAGGCAGCAGUCGGGAAUUUUGGGCAAUGGGCGAAAGCCUGACCCAGCAACGCCGCGUGAAGGAUGAAAUCCUUCGGGAUGUAAACUUCGCAAGAACAGGAAGAAUAAGUAAGAGUUAAUAUCUCUUACGAUGACGGUACUGUUUGUAAGCUCCGGCUAACUCCGUGCCAGCAGCCGCGGUAAUACGGGGGGAGCAAGCGUUGUUCGGAUUUACUGGGCGUAAAGGGCGGGUAGGCGGCCACCGCAAGUCAGUUGUGAAAUCUCCGGGCUUAACCCGGAAAGGUCAACUGAUACUGCGGGGCUAGAGUGCAGAAGGGGCAACUGGAAUUCUCGGUGUAGCGGUGAAAUGCGUAGAUAUCGAGAGGAACACCUGCGGCGAAGGCGGGUUGCUGGGCUGACACUGACGCUGAACUGCGAAAGCUAGGGGAGCGAACGGGAUUAGAUACCCCGGUAGUCCUAGCCUUAAACGAUGAAUGC
RNAcentral lists this ribosomal RNA (763 nucleotides) under uncultured Actinomycetes bacterium. Its description in RNAcentral is "bacterial SSU rRNA". It matches the Rfam family "Bacterial small subunit ribosomal RNA", at positions 74 to 816 of the family's 1533-position model. Lineage: Bacteria; Bacillati; Actinomycetota; Actinomycetes. The record is from RNAcentral.